This 120-nucleotide ribosomal RNA is filed under the name Streptococcus salivarius. Lineage: Bacteria; Bacillati; Bacillota; Bacilli; Lactobacillales; Streptococcaceae. The record is from RNAcentral.
AGUUAAGUGACGAUAGCCUAGGAGAUACACCUGUUCCCAUGCCGAACACAGAAGUUAAGCCCUAGUACGCCUGAUGUAGUUGGGGGUUGCCCCCUGUUAGAUACGGUAGUCGCUUAGCGC